Molecule: ribosomal RNA, 397 nt
Filed under: uncultured organism
Description: bacterial SSU rRNA
Rfam family: Bacterial small subunit ribosomal RNA
Source: RNAcentral
CGCCUAAUACAUGCAAGUCGAGCGAGAAGGUGUAGCAAUACACUUGUAAAGCGGCGAACGGGUGAGGAAUACAUGGGUAAUCUACCAUCGAGUGGGGAAUAACCAGCCGAAAGGUUGGCUAAUACCGCGUACGCCUCCGGAUCUUCGGGUUCGGAGGGAAAGCCGCACUGUGAGUGCGGCGCUCUUUGAUGAGCUCAUGUCCUAUCAGCUUGUUGGUAGGGUAACGGCCUACCAAGGCUUUGACGGGUAGCUGGUCUGAGAGGACGAUCAGCCACACUGGCACUGCGACACGGGCCAGACUCCUACGGGAGGCAGCAGUAAGGAAUAUUGCGCAAUGGGCGAAAGCCUGACGCAGCGACGCCGCGUGGGGGAUGAAGGUCUUCGGAUUGUAAACCCC